RNAcentral lists this ribosomal RNA (1642 nucleotides) under marine metagenome. RNAcentral's name for it is "bacterial LSU rRNA". It matches the Rfam family "Bacterial large subunit ribosomal RNA", at positions 499 to 2154 of the family's 2925-position model. The record is from RNAcentral.
UACCGUGAGGGAAAGGCGAAAAGAACCCCGGCGAGGGGAGUGAAAUAGUUCCUGAAACCAUACGCUUACAAGCGGUAGGAGCCAUUUUUAUGGUGACUGCGUGCCUUUUGCAUAAUGAUCCUACGAGUUACUCCUCUCUAGCAAGGAUAAGAAUUUUUGAUUCGAAUCCGUAGCGAAAGCAAGUCUGAAUAGGGCGCUUAGUUAGAGGGGGUAGACGCGAAACCAAGUGAUCUACCCAUGACCAGGUUGAAACUCCGUUAAUCCGGAGUGGAGGACCGAACCAAUAUACGUUGAAAAGUGUUUGGAUGAGUUGUGGGUAGGGGUGAAAGGCUAAUCAAACUUGGAAAUAGCUCGUACUCUCCGAAAUGCAUUUAGGUGCAGCCUCGAUAUUAUUGUCAUAGAGGUAGAGCUACUGAUUGGAUGCGGGGGCUUCAUCGCCUACCAAUUCCAGACAAACUCCGAAUGCUAUGACAUUUGAUCGGGAGUGAGGCAGUGGGUGCUAAGGUCCAUUGCCAAGAGGGAAACAACCCAGACUAUCAGCUAAAGUCCCUAAAUAUACGCUAAGUUGAUCUAACGUGGUGCGAUUGCAUUGACAGCUAGGAUGUUGGCUUGGAAGCAGCCAUUCAUUUAAAGAGUGCGUAACAGCUCACUAGUCGAGCGAUUGUGCAUGGAUAAUAAUCGGGCAUAAGCGUAUUACUGAAGCUAUAGAUCUAUUUUUAUAGAUGGUAGGAGAGCAUUCUAAUUAUAUUGAAGGUUUAAUGUCAAUUAAACUGGAAUGAUUAGAAAAGAAAAUGUAGGUAUAAGUAACGAUAAAGCGGGCGAGAAACCCGCUCACCAAUAGACUAAGGUUUCCCCAGCCAUGCUAAUCAGCUGGGGGUUAGUCGGGUCCUAAGGCGAACCCAAACGGGGUAGUCGAUGGACAACAGGUUAAUAUUCCUGUACUAGCAUUAACUGCGAUGGGAUGACGGAGAAGUGAAAGAUACGCGUGCUGACAGAAUAGCACGUCUAAGAACGUAGGUAUAGAUUUGUAGGCAAAUCCGCAAGUCUGCUGAAAUUCGAGUGAUAACUGAUCCUUCUGGUGACGGAAGUAUCCUAAUCAUGCUCCCAAGAAAAACCUCUAAGCUUCAGGUUAUAGCUACCCGUACCGCAAACCGACACAGGUAGUCAAGAUGAGAAUUCUAAGGUGCUCGAGUGAUCCGUGGCUAAGGAACUAGGCAAAAUGGUCCUGUAACUUCGGGAGAAAGGACGCUUACAUUUGUAAGCCGCAGUGAAUGGGCCCAGGCGACUGUUUAUCAAAAACACAUGGCUUUGCUAAAUCGAAAGAUGAUGUAUAAGGCCUGACACCUGCCCGGUGCCGGAAGGUUAAGAGGAGGGGUUAUACUUCGGUAGAAGCUCUGAAUUGAAGCCCCGGUAAACGGCGGCCGUAACUAUAACGGUCCUAAGGUAGCGAAAUUCCUUGUCGGGUAAGUUCCGACCUGCACGAAUGGUGUAACGAUCUGGGCGCUGUCUCGGCCACGAGCUCGGUGAAAGUGUAGUAUCGGUGAAGAUGCCGAGUACCCGCAACGGGACGGAAAGACCCCGUGCACCUUUACUAUAGCUUCACAUUGGUAUUGGAUAAUUGACGUGUAGGAUAGGUGGGAGA